RNAcentral lists this ribosomal RNA (623 nucleotides) under uncultured bacterium. Its description in RNAcentral is "bacterial SSU rRNA". It matches the Rfam family "Bacterial small subunit ribosomal RNA", at positions 28 to 646 of the family's 1533-position model. The record is from RNAcentral.
AUUGAACGCUGGCGGCAGGCCUAACACAUGCAAGUCGAGCGGUAGAGAGAAGCUUGCUUCUCUUGAGAGCGGCGGACGGGUGAGUAAUGCCUAGGAAUCUGCCUGGUAGUGGGGGAUAACGUUCGGAAACGGACGCUAAUACCGCAUACGUCCUACGGGAGAAAGCAGGGGACCUUCGGGCCUUGCGCUAUCAGAUGAGCCUAGGCCGGAUUAGCUAGUUGGUGGGGUAAUGGCUCACCAAGGCGACGAUCCGUAACUGGUCUGAGAGGAUGAUCAGUCACACUGGAACUGAGACACGGUCCAGACUCCUACGGGAGGCAGCAGUGGGGAAUAUUGGACAAUGGGCGAAAGCCUGAUCCAGCCAUGCCGCGUGUGUGAAGAAGGUCUUCGGAUUGUAAAGCACUUUAAGUUGGGAGGAAGGGCCAUUACCUAAUACGUGAUGGUUUUGACGUUACCGACAGAAUAAGCACCGGCUAACUCUGUGCCAGCAGCCGCGGUAAUACAGAGGGUGCAAGCGUUAAUCGGAGUUACUGGGCGUAAAGCGCGCGUAGGUGGUUUGUUAAGUUGGAUGUGAAAUCCCCGGGCUCAACCUGGGAACUGCAUUCAAAACUGACUGACUAGAG